AUUGAACGCUGGCGGCAGGCUUAACACAUGCAAGUCGAGCGAGCGGCGGCCGGGUGAGUAAUGUCUGGGAAACUGCCUGAUGGAGGGGGCUAACUACUGGAACCGGUCGCUAAUCCCGCAUAGCAUCAACGGUGCCCAGAUGGGAUUAGCUAGUAGGUGGGGUAAUGGCUCACCUUGGCGACGAUCCCUAGCUGGUCUGAGCGGAUGACCAGCCAAACUGGAAAUGAGACACGGUCCAGACGCCUACGGGAGGCAGCAGUGGGGAAUAUUGCACAAGGCGCGCAAGCCUGAUGCAGCCAUGCCGCGUGUGGGAAGAAGGCCGUCGGGUUGUAAAGCAAUUUCAGCGAGUAGGCGUUACUCGCAGAAGAAGCACCGGCUAACUCCGUGCCAGCAGCCGCGGUAAUAC
RNAcentral lists this ribosomal RNA (406 nucleotides) under uncultured bacterium. Its description in RNAcentral is "partial 16S ribosomal RNA". It matches the Rfam family "Bacterial small subunit ribosomal RNA", at positions 30 to 526 of the family's 1533-position model. The record is from RNAcentral.